RNAcentral lists this unclassified non-coding RNA (379 nucleotides) under uncultured bacterium. Its description in RNAcentral is "contains 16S-23S intergenic spacer region". The record is from RNAcentral.
UCCCACUCAUCGUGGGCAGUUUCUCCAGAGUGCCCCCUUGCGGGUGGCAACAGGAAAUGGGGGUUGCGCUCGUUGCGGGACUUAACCCAACAUCUCACGACACGAGCUGACGACAACCAUGCAGCACCUCGGCUGGUUCCUGACUUUACAGAUCAUCUCCGCUUUCACGGAUCUUACUUCCAGUCGUUCGAGCCCAGGUAAGGUUUUUCGUGUUGCGUCGAAUUAAACCACAUACUCCACCGCUUGUGCGGGUCCCCGUCAAUUCCUUUGAGUUUCAACCUUGCGGUCGUACUUCCCAGGUGGAUUACUUAAUGCUUUCGCUCAGACACGCACAGUGUAUCGCGUAUGUCGAGUAAUCAUAGUUUAGGGCGUGGACUAC